This 452-nucleotide ribosomal RNA is filed under the name uncultured Gammaproteobacteria bacterium. Its description in RNAcentral is "bacterial SSU rRNA". It matches the Rfam family "Bacterial small subunit ribosomal RNA", at positions 812 to 1264 of the family's 1533-position model. Lineage: Bacteria; Pseudomonadati; Pseudomonadota; Gammaproteobacteria. The record is from RNAcentral.
UCGAUUUGGAGUUUGUUGCCCUGAGUGAUGGGCUCCGAAGCUAACGCGAUAAAUCGACCGCCUGGGGAGUACGGCCGCAAGGUUAAAACUCAAAUGAAUUGACGGGGGCCCGCACAAGCGGUGGAGCAUGUGGUUUAAUUCGAUGCAACGCGAAGAACCUUACCUGGUCUUGACAUCCACAGAAUCUUGCAGAGAUGCGAGAGUGCCUUCGGGAACUGUGAGACAGGUGCUGCAUGGCUGUCGUCAGCUCGUGUUGUGAAAUGUUGGGUUAAGUCCCGCAACGAGCGCAACCCUUAUCCUUUGUUGCCAUCGGUUCGGCCGGGAACUCAAAGGAGACUGCCGUUGAUAAAGCGGAGGAAGGUGGGGACGACGUCAAGUCAUCAUGGCCCUUACGACCAGGGCUACACACGUGCUACAAUGGCGUAUACAAAGGGAGGCGACCUCGCGAGAGC